Molecule: long non-coding RNA, 1135 nt
Filed under: Zonotrichia albicollis (white-throated sparrow)
Lineage: Eukaryota; Metazoa; Chordata; Aves; Passeriformes; Passerellidae
Description: lncRNA (ENSZALG00000017266.1)
Source: RNAcentral
AGCUUGCAGGGAUGUGUGCGUUGGCUGGAGGGGAUGUCUGGAGGAGCUGGGAAGUAACCAGAUGACUGACAGCGAUUCAGGCUCGAUGCCUUAUGGAGGGGACAGGCGAACAGACCUGCUCCUUCCUUUGUGUUGCCAGUCAGGUCCUCCCUCUGCAGUCUUACACAGGAAGAAGAUUUAUAACAGCUGCAUGCAAUGCCAGUGUCUCAAAGAAACAGUAUCACGCCAUGUGGAGGAUUUUUGUUUGGGGUUUGUUUUCUCCACUGAAUUGGAAAGGCUCUUGGUGGCCUGCUUCUUACCUCCCUGACUAGUGGCAUGUAUUAAAUCAAUGGAGUGUGUUUCUGGGCCCCCAUAACCCUACUGGUCACCUCCUCCUCCUCUUCCACACCUGGCCCCCAUAACCCUACUGGUCACCUCCUCCUCCUCUUCCACACCUUUGUGGUGAAUGAUGAAGAAAGGACGCAGCUUUUCAAUACCAAGGAAGAAAUGGAGCAAUAACUGGAGGACCAUAAUCUACUUAUUGCUGCUUGCAGUGGAUGUCAGAGUCAAAUGGCUCAGAUAAGCAGCUACUACAGGACCAUGAAAAAGUGCCACUUAUUUUACUGCUUCUCAAAAAUUUAAAUUACAGAAUCUGUAAAUUUCCAAUGGAUUGAACCAACUUCCUUUUAAUUUUUAAAAUUUUAGAGUAUUUGUUUUUAUCGUGUCCUGUCUUUGCCUGAGACAAAGUUAAUUUAUUUUCUGUUUCUGGUAGAGUGCUGAGAUUUGGAUUCAGUGUGAGAAUAAUGUUGAUAACACACUGAUGUUUUGGUUGUUCCUAAGAAGUGCCUAUCCUAAGUCAAGGACAUUUUUGUGCCUCAUGCUCAGACAGUGAAGAAGAGCACAAAAAACCUGGGAGGGAGCAUAGCUGGGACAGGUGAGCUGAGCUGCCCAAAGGGGUAUUCCACAACACAGAACAGCAUGCUCAGUAUAAAAACUGGGGAAAUUACCUGGGAGGGGGGCUGAUUGGGUGUCAGCGAUAUGGGUCUGGCAUCAGCCAGCAGAUGGUGAGCAAUUGUAUUGUGCAUCACUGUUUUUACUUUUAUAUUAUUAUUGUUGUUUUUAUUAUUUACUAUUAUUAUUGUUAUAUUUUACUUUU